CACUAAUGAGCGGAGCUUUCCCCCGUUGAUGACAUGUACAAAGAAAAAAUGUCAAAGUGUUUCUUGUUGUUAUCAAGUGUGAUUAUAAAAAUUUUAAACACCAUUAGAGGCUAGUUAUAUUCACACACUGUUGCCACACAACUGUGUUUAAACCCCUUAUAAAAGUGUUUUUUGCAUGAUCUUAAAGAGGGCCUCCCUUUAAGAUGAAUGAAUAGUACCAUUUAAAUUAAAGAUGUAUACCUGCAGUGUUUCUAGAAGCAGCAACAGCAUGGCAAGUUGAAAUCGAGCUGAUACACAAGACUCAAAGUGACCCAAACCAUAACAAACACACUGCAGAAGAGACGCAUCUUCACUCUGCUCUGAAGUGCUGGAGAGAAGACGCUCGCAGAGGAGAUCUGAAGGGCUCCUUUACGACGCCCUGCGACCUGCCAGCCUUCAUUACAAGCCAUUACUGCAAAAACUCCUCAAAACUCAGACGAUUUUACAGUCAGACGGCUCGAAGUGCUUCAUCAAAAAAGCAAGAACUAUCCGGCCUCCUUAUAAACAUAUUUUGUAUUUUAUAGGUGUGAAAAUUCUCUUAUAAAAUCGUUCAUAUUUACACCGAACACCAUAUGAGUGUUUUGUGUUACAUAUAAAUGUUUCCGUUGGAACGCUGUUCUCUGAAUUUUCAGUUCCUUCCCUACUAGAUUUUUAACUUAUUCGCUAAACAUAAUAGCAUUUGUUUACUUUCGAUAAUUAAAUGUCUGUUUAUGCCA
This 755-nucleotide long non-coding RNA is filed under the name Danio rerio (zebrafish). RNAcentral's name for it is "lncRNA (ENSDARG00000097016.2)". The record is from RNAcentral. Lineage: Eukaryota; Metazoa; Chordata; Actinopteri; Cypriniformes; Danionidae.